RNAcentral lists this ribosomal RNA (158 nucleotides) under Fusarium chlamydosporum. RNAcentral's name for it is "5.8S ribosomal RNA". It matches the Rfam family "5.8S ribosomal RNA". Rfam says of the family: 5.8S ribosomal RNA (5.8S rRNA) is a component of the large subunit of the eukaryotic ribosome. It is transcribed by RNA polymerase I as part of the 45S precursor that also contains 18S and 28S rRNA. The record is from RNAcentral. Lineage: Eukaryota; Fungi; Ascomycota; Sordariomycetes; Hypocreales; Nectriaceae.
CAACAACGGAUCUCUUGGUUCUGGGAUCGAUGAAGAACGCAGCAAAAUGCGAUAAGUAAUGUGAAUUGCAGAAUUCAGUGAAUCAUCGAAUCUUUGAACGCACAUUGCGCCCGCCAGUAUUCUGGCGGGCAUGCCUGUUCGAGCGUCAUUUCAACCCU